UACGAAGGGGGCUAGCGUUGCUCGGAAUCACUGGGCGUAAAGCGCACGUAGGCGGACUCUUAAGUCGGUGGUGAAAUCCUGGAGCUCAACUCCAGAACUGCCUCCGAUACUGCGAGUCUCCGAGUCCGGGAGAGGUGAGUGGAACUGCGAGUGUAGAGGUGAAAUUCGUAGAUAUUCGCAAGAACACCAGUGGCGAAGGCGACUACCUGGCCUGUUCUUGACGCUGAGGCGCGAAAGCUAGGGGAGCAAACGGG
RNAcentral lists this ribosomal RNA (254 nucleotides) under uncultured bacterium. Its description in RNAcentral is "partial 16S ribosomal RNA". It matches the Rfam family "Bacterial small subunit ribosomal RNA", at positions 524 to 776 of the family's 1533-position model. The record is from RNAcentral.